This 216-nucleotide ribosomal RNA is filed under the name Glomeromycotina sp. RNAcentral's name for it is "partial small subunit ribosomal RNA". The stretch from base 40 to 216 matches the Rfam family "Eukaryotic small subunit ribosomal RNA", at positions 686 to 864 of the family's 1831-position model. The record is from RNAcentral. Lineage: Eukaryota; Fungi; Glomeromycota.
GGGUCAGUAGGUUGGUCGUGCCACCGGUACGUACUGGUCUCACUGAUUCCUCCUUCCUGAAGAACCGUAAUGCCAUUAAUUUGGUGUUGCGGGGAGACAGGACUGUUACUUUGAAAAAAUUAGAGUGUUUAAAGCAAGCUAACACUUGAAUACAUUAGCAUGGAAUAAUGAAAUAGGACGAUCGAUCCUAUUUUGUUGGUUUCUAGGAUUGACGUA